UGGAUGAAAAAUGAGCAGGUCUAAUCAAGGCUUCGUUUGAAUUUUUUUUCACAAUAUAUGCAAAAAUAUCAGUCCUUAAAGGAAACAGAUAACAGCGCCCCCACCUUCCGCCGACAUGCUGCUGUCAUGUUAAAUGUAGCUUGCAGCUCCAGGAUGCAGAAGGAAGAACGACACAAAACGGCUCGAGCAGGGCGUUGCUGAUUCACUCACUCGUUCAUGCUAUAUGCAAAAGUCUUUGUCCCUUAAGGCAACAGGUUACAGUCCCCCCCACCCCCCCACAGGCUGCUUUCAUAUUAACAUUAGCUUGGAGCUCCAGAAUGGACCAGAAAGAACGACGAGAAUGGCUCGAGCAGGGCGUUGCUCACGGGGCGGUCGCUCGUGCCAGCCGGUCGCACGUGCUCGGGCCCGCUAAAUGCUACUUGUAGCUUUAAUUUAUCUGUGGAUUUCCACUUAAAUUUUAGUUUGCAUGGUAACUAGCGUUCUUUUUCUGUAAUCGUUUAAGUUGUUUAAGUGUAAAUGCUGCUGCUGUUUGUCUGAUAUGUAUAUAUUUUUUGUGAUGAGUGUCGUGCUGAAUCCUGCAUGUAGCUCAACACUGAUCUGCAGAGACUGACAUGUUGGGACUGAAUCCACAGAGCUUCAUGGGGACAUGCACAGGAUGCCCCAAUGUCCCGACACAGCACAGGACGGGGCGGUCAGAUGGCCUCCUCUCUUCUCUCCUCCCAGCUGUCGAGAAUGGGUGGAGCCUGGAAACUGCUGUUAUGAACGUAGCUUCGGGGAUGACGGUGGGCCUCCGGGGAGCGUCUCGGUCAACGUGCCUCAGUUCUCCACGCCGCCCGUGAACGCCGUCUCCCAAGUGGACAUGGUGAAGCUGAGCUCAGCAGCAGGAGAGUCUUCCUCACAUCUGCAGGGCAGAACAGGAACCAUCAGCCUGCCCGACGAGUGCAGUGAGGCCUUUUAUCUUCACCAAAUCCAAAUGAUUCAUGCUGUACUUGACGUUUUCGUGUUUCCCAUGAUGUAUUUAGACAUCUGGAUUUUGUCAGGCUGCUGAUUUUAGAUCACCUUUUGUUAGAUCACCUUUGUUCUACUUAGUUUAGAGGCACAUUUAAUAAAACACGGUUAAUUAGAGACAGUUUUCAAAAUGCUUUGUUUUUUAUCUUAGGAAAUGUUCUCAUCACUCACUCUUUGGACGUGUCCUCAGAGAUAGCCGCUUUCAGAGACUUCCUCACAAAACAAGGCUUUCGAACAAGUGUGAGCAAAAUCCUAAUCCUUGUUUAUUUUUUAUCUACUUUUUUUAAAAAAAAAAAAACUCUUGAUAAUAUCAGAACCUAAACCUUACCUUGACAGACUGACCUCACUGAUGACUCCACUGGAGAAAUGGACAUCCACAAAUGGAGACAUGCUUUCCUAAAAGAUGUAAGUGAACAGCAUCGGGGUUGUUGUUUUUUUGUGCAACCUAAAAAGCUCCUAAAAUAAGA
RNAcentral lists this long non-coding RNA (1475 nucleotides) under Oryzias sinensis (Chinese medaka). RNAcentral describes it as "lncRNA (ENSOSIG00000007408.1)". Lineage: Eukaryota; Metazoa; Chordata; Actinopteri; Beloniformes; Adrianichthyidae. The record is from RNAcentral.